GCGUUGUAUACGAGCAGAAGCCGUACCGUGAGGAGCGGUGGAUUGUAUAGAAGUGAGAAUGCCGGUGUGAGUAGCGAGAUGUAGGUGAGAAUCCUACACACCGAAAGCCCAAGGAUUCCAGGGGAAGGUUCGUCCGCCCUGGGUAAGUCGGGACCUAACGCGAGGCCGAAAGGCGUAGUGGAUGGAAAGCAGGCGAAAGAUUCCUGCACCCGUAUAUGGAGCGAAGGAGUGACGGAGACGGAUAGUGUGACCCUCUUAAUGGAUUGAGGGCGAAGCGAAGCGGCUGGUUACCAGGCAAAUCCGGUAACUGAAAGGCUAGAGCGUGACAGGUAAGCGAAAUCUUUGGAAAGUAGCGAAGCACAUGAUGACGGCUUCCAGGAAAAGCUUCUGGCAAUGCAUAUGCGGCCCGUACCAAAACCGACACAGGUGGGCAGGGAGAGAAUCCCGAGGUGAGCGAGAGAACUGUUGCCAAGGAACUCGGCAAAAUGACUCCGUAAGUUAGCGAGAAGGAGUGCUUAAGCAAUUAAGCCGCAGUGAAGAGGCCCAAGCGACUGUUUAACUAAAACACAGCUCUCUGCGAAGUCGCAAGACGAAGUAUAGGGGGUGACACCUGCCCGGUGCUGGAAGGUUAAGAGGAUCUGUUAAGAGCGAUCUGAAGCAGUGAUCCGAAGCCCCAGUGAACGGCGGCCGUAACUAUAACGGUCCUAAGGUAGCGAAAUUCCUUGUCAGGUAAGUUCUGACCCGCACGAAAGGUGUAACGAUUUGGGCGCUGUCUCGGCAGCAGACUCGGUGAAAUCUUAGUACCUGUGAAAAUGCAGGUUACCCGCAACUAGACGGAAAGACCCCAUGGAGCUUUACUGCAGCCUGAUAUUGAAUUCUGGUCAUACAUGUACAGGAUAGGUGGGAGACAAAGAGACGUGCACGCCAGUGUACGAGGAGUCGCCGUUGGGAUACCACUCUUGUGUGACCGGGGUUCUAACCUGGUAUCGAGAACAGGUACGGGGAGAGUGUCAGGUGGGCAGUUUGACUGGGGCGGUCGCCUCCCAAAGAGUAACGGAGGCGCCCAAAGGUACGCUCAGAUUGGAUGGAAACCAAUCGACGAGUGCAAUUGCAGAAGCGUGCUUGACUGUGAGACAGACAAGUCGAACAGGGACGAAAGUCGGGAAUAGUGAUCCGGCGGUGCCGAAUGGAAGGGCCGUCGCUCAACGGAUAAAAGCUACCCU
This 1223-nucleotide ribosomal RNA is filed under the name human gut metagenome. Its description in RNAcentral is "bacterial LSU rRNA". It matches the Rfam family "Bacterial large subunit ribosomal RNA", at positions 1236 to 2469 of the family's 2925-position model. The record is from RNAcentral.